GCGUGUCGUCCCGUCCUGUGAAUCUAACAUGUCGACGGCAUCGGAGGAAUAUUAUGAGUGUAGUGACUUUGUAAAGUGACUCUGAGUCUGUCUGUGAUCUACUGGCCAACGAGCUACACUGGAGACCUGAGGGGGAAGAGACCCCACACCCUACACAGAAUACACACCCUACUGUAGAUACUACACAUAGUAUAGAUACUAAACAUACUGCAGUUAGCAUGGAGAAAGAAGAGGCUAAUAAUCAGCUAGCACAGCAGGCUAUCAGUCAGCUAGCACAACAGGCUAACACGCAGCUAGCACAACAGGCUAACAGUCAGCUAGCACAGCAGGCUAACAGUCAGCUAGCACAACAGGCUAACAGUCAGCUAGCACAACAGGCUAACACUCAACUAGCACAACAGGCUAACACUCAACUAGCACAACAGGCUAACACUCAACUAGCACAACGGGCUAACACUCAACUAGCACAACAGGCUAACACUCAACUAGCACAAGAGAAACAGUAGUAUGCUAA
Molecule: long non-coding RNA, 514 nt
Filed under: Salmo salar (Atlantic salmon)
Lineage: Eukaryota; Metazoa; Chordata; Actinopteri; Salmoniformes; Salmonidae
Description: lncRNA (ENSSSAG00000116962.1)
Source: RNAcentral